RNAcentral lists this long non-coding RNA (1512 nucleotides) under Ananas comosus (pineapple). RNAcentral's name for it is "long non-coding RNA (ACOM_LNC024490)". Lineage: Eukaryota; Viridiplantae; Streptophyta; Magnoliopsida; Poales; Bromeliaceae. The record is from RNAcentral.
AGCCGAUGAAGGCGAGGAGUACUCACCGGAUCAGGAAGAGCUAAACAACAGUACGGGUCAGUAGAAAAUACAGCAGUGAUAAUAAUGAAUGAAAGAGACAUAUAUAUGAAAGAAAGUACAACUACCGCUACUGUAAUGAACAACUGAAUGUAUACCUGCAACAAGACUAUAGUAGCAAGAAAAUGUAACUAAAGAACUGAAGGUAUACAAGCGACAACAGCUACUAUAGUUAUAUGCGUCAACCAGACGAUAAGUCCAAAAUACCCAAUCUGUAAUGGCCGUAUUGGUACCCAACACCUCAGGCCAAUGCCCAUCUACUCUGACAGAAACAAGCCAUAUUGGUACCCAACACCUCAGGCUGAAAGCACAUAACCACACUAGGGCUCACGGGUUGACACAAGCAACCACUUUUCCGGAAAAGAACACCCUCUUGUGGUGGAUCAGACCGCUGGUGUUCAUGAAAUGCGACGAGUAUCGGGCGGUCAAUGCUGAUAUGCUCAAAGGCCAAACGUUGGCAACCAGCCGACAAUCCUGCCCACAGGGCUCAUCGACCGUAUAGGUCAUCAACUGUAAGGAAGCACAAGAACUGACCACUCAGGUCAACUAGGAUGGGACAACAUCAACAUCCUCUCAAACAUAUGCAAAUACUGUUCAAUGAACCACAAGAACUGACCACUAAGAUCAACUGGGAUAUAUGCACAACGAAUCGACGAAUAAAUCAUCAGGGUGUAUCAAUAGAAUUCAGAACUACCAUCGGCCACUAGCCAACAAUCCAACCCCUCUAGAGUACAUCGACCACGACGGUCAUCAAACGACAGAAGUCAAGGAACCGACCGAAUGUGUCACAACUACGGGAUACAAGAACAGACCAACCAGAUCACUGAUACGAAGUACGAGAACUAACCAACCAGGUCACUGAUACGAAGUACAAGAAUCGACCUACCAAGUCACUGAUAUGAAGUACAAGAAUCGACCUACCAAGUCACUGAUAUGAAGUACAAGAAUCGACCUACCAAGUCAACAGAUACGCACAUAGAUAGAACCACUCUACUCCUACUCAGGAUACUAAGCAUGCAAACAACGAGUAGAGUAUAAUGGAAUAACAUGGGUGCAAGGCUCAAUAUAUACUAUGCAAUAAUAACAACAGAAGAGUAAGGGUAAGAAACCAUCACCAAGCGUGCACCACUGUACCGACGUCGGAUCGAAGUACCCACCUGUACAAAUGUCGCACCUGUCUCCUGACUGCAAAAGAACAUCAACCAGACCUAAGGAGGGUCCACUGGGUUAGUUUCCAACCUACAAACAAUAAACGCUGAAUCUACAACUCCACAAACUAAAACCCACGGAUAUCGGUUUUCCAAAACCGAUUACCGUAACUCGCCGGAAGUCUCGAAAUCGCACCGGGACUCCGUAGGGACCCACGAACUGUCCCGGAACGUACCGACUCGUGCUACGAGUCAUCCGCUGCCACUAAACAUCAAUAAUCGUGCAUCAUGGCAGCAAACACCACUC